Long non-coding RNA from Helianthus annuus (common sunflower), 821 nucleotides. RefSeq lists it as uncharacterized. The transcript has 4 exons. The record is from RefSeq and is a predicted model, not a curated record. Lineage: Eukaryota; Viridiplantae; Streptophyta; Magnoliopsida; Asterales; Asteraceae.
UGAACUUAAUUGCCACCAUCAUUUCUAACGAAGGCCUUUUGAUUCCCUUUCUCCUCCCAUAUCGACCUCAUCACUCUCUCUCUCUCUCUCUGUAACUUUCUUCGUUUUCCUAAUGACUCUUACAUUUUGUGUAUUCUUUAGGUCACACAUUCAAUAUUUGUAUCAAUGCAAGAAAGGCUUGAGUGUUUCUACUUUGGUGAACAGUCGGAAUCAGAAACCCUAGCCGGAGCCAUUUGUCGCCUGCACUAAAGUUGCUUCGUUUUCAGGGAAUUUGGUUACCUAAUCAGUAUUGUUGGCAGUGUUGUUGGGUGAAUCUGUAUGGUUGAAUAUACCCAGAUCAGGAAAUAAGGUUUUAUUUGUUUUGGGUUUUGUCGAACAUAUCAAGACUCCGAGGAAAGGUGAUGUCAUUAAGAAGCAGAUCAAGGAUGUUUUUGACAGAGAGCUUUAAGGAAACUGAAGCAUUGGGACGGUUUGGAGCAUAUACUUCAUAACCAAGUACUAAUGGUAGCAGCAUUUUCUUCUCGAGGCCUGAAUAUAAAAGAUCAUAAAUUUUCCGAUGCAGAUUAUUUGAAACUGGAAGCACCAGAUUCUUUGAACUGGGCUUUUUGGUCAUGGAACAGAUGAGCCUAAUUAUGAAGGUAAACAUGUAAUUAUAUAUGUAAUUUGUUUCAACAAUCAUCGACUCUUAUACAUCCUCCUACUUAUCAAACACCAUCCAACCCAGCUGCGGCCAUCACAGAGUCCUUUUUCGGACAAUUUUGGACUUAUUGUUUUGGGCUUGUUUAACUUGGUUAAAUUAAUGUAUAUUAUUAUUAUUAUUA